This 374-nucleotide unclassified non-coding RNA is filed under the name uncultured fungus. RNAcentral describes it as "sequence contains ITS1". The stretch from base 1 to 104 matches the Rfam family "5.8S ribosomal RNA", at positions 50 to 154 of the family's 154-position model. The record is from RNAcentral. Lineage: Eukaryota; Fungi.
CAGCUGCGUUAAGUGGUGUGAAUUGCAGGACACGAUGAGCACUAAAUUUUCGAACGCAUAUUGCGCCUAUGGGCUUUCCCGUAGGCAUGUCUGUCUGAGGGUCGGAAAUACUGACCACAUAUUAAUAGUUGAUUUCGAGCAGUCUUAGUUCAACAAUUGUUGUGCUUUGACUUGUUCGUUCAACUUAAGACACGCGAUGCAUAGCUCAAUUGCUCGGUAGCGGCGCAUCGGUUCAGCGCGACGUGCUGUAAUCGGUAGCUGGGGUGAUACCUUUACUUUCGAGCGGCUAAUGUGUCAGCGUCAAUUGUUAUAUUUAACAAAUCGAAUAUUAUUUUGUCGACCUCAGAUCAGGCAAGAUUACCCGCUGAAUUUAA